RNAcentral lists this ribosomal RNA (457 nucleotides) under uncultured bacterium. RNAcentral describes it as "bacterial SSU rRNA". It matches the Rfam family "Bacterial small subunit ribosomal RNA", at positions 28 to 492 of the family's 1533-position model. The record is from RNAcentral.
GAUGAACGCUGGCGGCGUGCUUAACACAUGCAAGUCGAACGGACUUUUGAUGAAACCUAGUGAUUCAAAAGUUAGUGGCGGACGGGUGAGUAACGCGUGGGUAACCUGCCUCGUACAGGGGGAUAACACUUAGAAAUAGGUGCUAAUACCGCAUAAGCGCACAGCUUCGCAUGAAGCAGUGUGAAAAACUCCGGUGGUACGAGAUGGACCCGCGUCUGAUUAGCUAGUUGGUGAGGUAACGGCCCACCAAGGCGACGAUCAGUAGCCGGCCUGAGAGGGUGAACGGCCACAUUGGGACUGAGACACGGCCCAAACUCCUACGGGAGGCAGCAGUGGGGAAUAUUGGGUCAAUGGUCUGACGACUGAACCAGCGACGCCGCGUGAAGGAAGAAGGUCUUCGGAUUGUAAACUUUUGUCAGCAAGGAAGAAGAAAGUGACAGUACUUGCUAAGGAAGCC